RNAcentral lists this ribosomal RNA (721 nucleotides) under uncultured Haemophilus sp. RNAcentral describes it as "bacterial SSU rRNA". It matches the Rfam family "Bacterial small subunit ribosomal RNA", at positions 163 to 881 of the family's 1533-position model. Lineage: Bacteria; Pseudomonadati; Pseudomonadota; Gammaproteobacteria; Pasteurellales; Pasteurellaceae. The record is from RNAcentral.
CUAAUACCGCGUAGUAUCGGAAGAUGAAAGUGCGGGACUGUAAAGCCGCAUGCCAUGAGAUGAGCCCAAGUGGGAUUAGGUAGUUGGUGGGGUAAAGGCCUACCAAGCCGACGAUCUCUAGCUGGUCUGAGAGGAUGACCAGCCACACCGGGACUGAGACACGGCCCGGACUCCUACGGGAGGCAGCAGUGGGGAAUAUUGCGCAAUGGGGGCAACCCUGACGCAGCCAUGCCGCGUGAAUGAAGAAGGCCUUCGGGUUGUAAAGUUCUUUCGGUGACGAGGAAGGCGUGAUGUUUAAUAGGCAUCACGAUUGACGUUAAUCACAGAAGAAGCACCGGCUAACUCCGUGCCAGCAGCCGCGGUAAUACGGAGGGUGCGAGCGUUAAUCGGAAUAACUGGGCGUAAAGGGCACGCAGGCGGCUAUUUAAGUGAGGUGUGAAAUCCCCGGGCUUAACCUGGGAAUUGCAUUUCAGACUGGGUAGCUAGAGUACUUUAGGGAGGGGUAGAAUUCCACGUGUAGCGGUGAAAUGCGUAGAGAUGUGGAGGAAUACCGAAGGCGAAGGCAGCCCCUUGGGAAUGUACUGACGCUCAUGUGCGAAAGCGUGGGGAGCAAACAGGAUUAGAUACCCUGGUAGUCCACGCUGUAAACGCUGUCGAUUUGGGGAUUGGGCUUUAAGCUUGGUGCCCGUAGCUAACGUGAUAAAUCGACCGCCUGGGGAGU